RNAcentral lists this ribosomal RNA (836 nucleotides) under Haptophyta environmental samples. Its description in RNAcentral is "bacterial SSU rRNA". It matches the Rfam family "Bacterial small subunit ribosomal RNA", at positions 481 to 1325 of the family's 1533-position model. The record is from RNAcentral. Lineage: Eukaryota; Haptophyta.
GAGGAAUAAGCAUCGGCUAACUCCGUGCCAGCAGCCGCGGUAAUACGGGGGAUGCAAGCGUUAUCCGGAAUCAUUGGGCGUAAAGCGCUUGUAGGUUGUUUAAUAAGUCUGUUGUUAAAGACUAGGGCUUAACCCUAGGAAAGCAAUGGAAACUACUAGACUAGAGUAUGAUAGGGGUAGAGGGAAUUUCUAGUGUAGCGGUGAAAUGCGUAGAUAUUAGGAAGAACACCGGUGGCGAAGGCGCUCUACUGGAUCAUUACUGACACUCAGAGGCGAAAGCUAGGGUAGCAAAAGGGAUUAGAUACCCCUGUAGUCCUAGCCGUAAACGAUGGAUACUAGAUGUUGCGUUUAUUAUGCAGUAUCGUAGCUAACGCGUUAAGUAUCCCGCCUGGGGAGUACGCUCGCAAGGGUGAAACUCAAAGGAAUUGACGGGGGCCCGCACAAGCGGUGGAGCAUGUGGUUUAAUUCGAUGCAACGCGAAGAACCUUACCAAGGCUUGACAUACUACAAAUUUCUUUGAGAAAAGAAAGUGCCUUCGGGAAUGUAGAUACAGGUGGUGCAUGGCUGUCGUCAGCUCGUGUCGUGAGAUGUUGGGUUAAGUCCCGCAACGAGCGCAACCCUUAUUUUUAGUUGCCAAUUUAUUGGGUUUUCUAGAAAGACUGCCGGUGACAAACCGGAGGAAGGUGAGGAUGACGUCAAGUCAGCAUGCCCCUUAUGUCUUGGGCUACACACGUGCUACAAUGGCUAAGACAAAGAGUCGCGAAUUCGCGAGAAUCAGCUAAUCUCAUAAACUUAGUCUAAGUUCAGAUUGUAGGCUGCAACUCGCCUACAUGAAG